AAAACAUUUUCUUUAGAUUUAAUUAAAGGUAAGACCUGCUCAAUGAGUAUUAAAUGGCCGCAGUAUAAUGACUGUGCUAAGGUAGCAUAAUAAUUUGCCUCUUAAUUGGGGGCUGGAAUGAAAGGUUUUAUGGAGAAUAGCUAUUUUAAUAAAAUAAAAUUGAAUUUAAGAUUUGCAUAAAAACUUGCAGAUGAUCUCAAGGGACGAGAAGACCCUGUGGAUUUUUAUUCAGUAAAAAAUAAAUUUAAUAACUUUUUAUUUUGUGUUUGAGUUUAGUUGGGAUGACGGUGAUUUAACUUUAUUAUUGUAAUGUAGGAUCCUAUUUAAGGAAAAAAGAACAAAUUACCCCAGGGAUAACAGCGUAAUGCUUUUGGACAGGACAUAUGGAUAAAAGUGUUUGCGACCUCGAUGUUGAAUUAAAAUUUCUUUGUUAAGCAUAAAUAAUGAAAGUAAGUCUGUUCGACUUUUAAAAUUUUACGUGAUC
This 484-nucleotide ribosomal RNA is filed under the name Pseudocandona insculpta. RNAcentral's name for it is "partial large subunit ribosomal RNA". It matches the Rfam family "Archaeal large subunit ribosomal RNA", at positions 1902 to 2674 of the family's 2987-position model. The record is from RNAcentral. Lineage: Eukaryota; Metazoa; Arthropoda; Ostracoda; Podocopida; Candonidae.